UCAGAGGAAUUUGUCUAUUACUCGUAACUACUCGUUUAUUUUCACUUUUUUUCAUUUUCUAUACCGCCGUCUUAAGAUAAAAAUUCAAAUUUUUGUCUCAAGCUACUUUGUAAAGUCAGGUCAAGGUGGGAGAUUAUAAAAAAGUUUAGAUUAAUUAUUCCUAAAAUAUUAUUUAAAGUCAAUUUUCUAAAGAUGGUAAAAUAAAGAUUUGAAAGUAGCUUUUAAUCAAAAAUUAAAAGCGAAUUUGGUCUCANGUGUACAUAUCGCCCGUCACCCUCGUCUAAAGAUGAGGUAAGUCGUAACAUAGUUAGUGUACUGGAAAGUGUACUAAGGGGAAUUAAAAGCUUUAGCGUUUCAUUUACACAGAAAAGAAUGUUCCUUCAAUUUUUAUGAAUUUCCUUUUAUUUAAACCACUAUUCAUUUCAUUUAAUUUCUUCUUCCUUUUAAAUUACCGUAGGGGUAUUCAAAUUGAUUAUAAGAAAACUUUUUAAUGUACCUUNUUGNAUCAGGGGUGAAUCAAACUUCUUUUUUGAAAAAUAUUAUCCCGAAAUAAAAUGAGCUACUUAUUUUAUCAUAUUUUAUUUGCAAAAAAAUAGUAAAAAUUUAGUAGAAGUGAAAUUCCAUUACGUAUUUUCUUAUAUCUGGUUUUUUCAAAAAGUAUAAUUACUUAAACCUAAAAAGGGACAAUCUUUUUUAUAUAUUUAUUCUUCAUUUUUUUCACCCACUAAGGAUUAGAAGUGUCUUUUUGUGUAAAAACUUUUUUCUUUUAUUCAGAUAAAUUUUAUUAUGAAAUUCUUUUCCUUUUAUAGGAACAAUGACUCAAUCAGUAAAGAUCUAUUUUAACCAUUAUUUUAAAUAUCUUAAAACGAUUUUUCUAAUUUAUUUUCAUUAACUUGGCUAAGUUUUCUGACUGUUUACCAAAAACAUUUCUGAAUGACUUUUCUUUUCAGUAAGACCUGCUCAAUGAUAUUUUUUUAAUAGCCGCAAUUUACGUGCUAAGGUAGCAUAAUCAUUUGCCUUAUAAUUUAAGGCUAGUAUGAAAGGUUCAACAUGAUAACUUCUUUGUAAAUUUAACUUCCAGAAUUCUACCUACAAGUAAAAAGGCUUGUAUUUUCAAGGGGGACGACAAGACCCUAACGAGCUUCACUUAUCUAGUUGAACUGGGGUGGUAAAAAACUAAAUCUUUUAAUUUCGUUUCUCUUUAUCCUUAUUGUAAGAUUUUCAAGUUACCGUAGGGAUAACAGCAUAAUUUUUUUCUAGAGACCUUAUCUAAAAAAAAGAUUGUGACCUCGAUGUUGAAUUAAUU
RNAcentral lists this ribosomal RNA (1306 nucleotides) under Myrmekiaphila torreya. RNAcentral's name for it is "partial 16S large subunit ribosomal RNA". Lineage: Eukaryota; Metazoa; Arthropoda; Arachnida; Araneae; Euctenizidae. The record is from RNAcentral.